GAUAGUGUGGCUGAUUAUAGGUGUUAGAUUGUAAAUCUAAUUAUGGGGUACACCCCCGCUGUCA
Molecule: transfer RNA, 64 nt
Filed under: Caenis pycnacantha
Lineage: Eukaryota; Metazoa; Arthropoda; Insecta; Ephemeroptera; Caenidae
Description: tRNA-Tyr
Rfam family: tRNA
About the family: Transfer RNA (tRNA) molecules are approximately 80 nucleotides in length. Their secondary structure includes four short double-helical elements and three loops (D, anti-codon, and T loops).
Source: RNAcentral